UGGCUUAGUGGUUAAGCGCUUGCUUUCGAAACAAGGGUUCUGGGUUCGAAUCUCGG
RNAcentral lists this transfer RNA (56 nucleotides) under Biomphalaria glabrata. It matches the Rfam family "tRNA", at positions 8 to 63 of the family's 71-position model. Rfam says of the family: Transfer RNA (tRNA) molecules are approximately 80 nucleotides in length. Lineage: Eukaryota; Metazoa; Mollusca; Gastropoda; Planorbidae. The record is from Rfam by way of RNAcentral.